Aegilops tauschii subsp. strangulata is the source of this 1780-nucleotide non-coding RNA. NCBI's taxonomy places the organism in Eukaryota, Viridiplantae, Streptophyta, Magnoliopsida, Poales, Poaceae. The record is from RefSeq and is a predicted model, not a curated record.
CACGCCGCAUCGUUCCCCGCUUCGUUCCCCAACGUGAAGCACGCGUUUUUUUUGUCGAUCCUCCCGCCGCUCCUGUCCGACGGCCAUGUGUUUACCUCGCCGGGGCAUGGCAGCGGGGCGCCCUCCUUUCUCGCAUUCCUGGCGCGGCGGCUGCUCGGCGGAUUGCAAAGAGGCAGGUGGAGGAGCUCACCAAGUAGCCCGCCGGAGUCAAAGGCGUUCGAGGAUAGGGACAAGCCGGCGGCGCAGCCAGUGACUGGAGCGGCGGCGCGAGCUCUGCCUCCGGGGAGAGGCCGAGGGGCGAUGCAUCUUUGGCCUUGAGACAAGAACCGAGACCAAAUUAGGAGCAUCAAAAACUUCAGAUCGAUUUUCGGCAGCUUCGCUCAAGGCCGACGAUUGGGCGCGUGUGGUGGCAGUUCGAGGAGUGGCGACAUCUUCUGGUGGAUUGUUGUGUGUGCUCUGGUCUGAAAGUUUGUGCUUAGAAGGAGUGGCAACAUCUUCAGGUGGAAGGAGUGGCAGUUCAAGGACAUCUUCUGCAGUGGUCUGAAUUGAUUCAGGAAUUCUGCACGCCAUCCAAAUUGAUUUACUAAAUAUUGGAUGUUCAGCACUCUCCUGAGGUGAAUAAUGUAUUGAAAGAGAUGUCAUCAUCAGAGGAUGAGCAAGUUGAACACGGCACUGUAGAACAUGAAUUGUUUUCCAUGCCAUCUGAUGCCAUGGAGCAUGGAACAAAAUUGUUUUCCAUGCCAUCUGAUGCCAUGGAGCAUGGAACAAAUAGCAGCAGCAGCAGCACAUAGCAGCAGAUCAAUCUACAGGCAACUGUACCUUCUUCAGAGUGCAAAUAGCAGCAGCAGCAACACGGCGCAGUCACUUGGACCAGCAGCAGCAGCAACACGACAUGUUCACUUGGAUCAGCAGCAGCAACACAGGUAGAGGAGCAGCAGCAUCAACACGGGCAGAGGAGCAGCAGCAGCACGGGCUAGCUCCACCGGCGGCAGGGGAGAAGCAGAGGAGAAACAGAGCAGCAGCAGGCACGCGGGCAGAGGAGAAGGAGCAGCACGGCAGCUGGUGGGAGCUCGACGAGGACUUGCGGGAGAUAGAGGAGGACGCGCGCAAGCUCUUGUCCACCGGAUCGUGGAGGCCGGUUCCAGCGAUGCCCGUAGGAGAUCACGGCGGGAGGGGUCGCGGCAGCACACGGGAGGCAGCUCAAGGUGGACUCACGGCAGCUAGAGGAGGACUCGCGGUAGCUCGAGGAAGAUGAGAGGGAGCUCCUGCUCCGCCGGAUCAUGGUGGGAAAUUCCGGCGACGUCCGCAGGUAAUCCGGCGAGAGGGGAUCGCUGCGGCACAGGUUCGGGCGGCGGUGGCGGAGCAGGUACUUGGCGACGGCGGCGGCGGCAAAGGUACGGGCGGAGCACUUCCUGAUGGGCGCCAAAUCACGCAGCUUGGCGGCGCCGGCCCCUAGCGACGCACGGGCGGAGGAAGAAGACGGGGGUGGAGGGACUUGUUUGCGACAGUUUGGAAACUACGAGGUUUUUUUUGCAAAAUCACCAAUGAACUACGGGCACGACGUGUUUUUUGGGACGGAGGGAGUAUAAACUAGAUGAUGCUCCGCGUGUUGCUGCGGAACUUUUUGUUUUCUACAUUUAAAGUCAAAUUUUGAUAUUUAUGUUGAAAGAAUAAUUUUUUGGUAGAAACUUACAAAGGUUUAGCACUAUCUAUUCAGGCUAGCUUGUAAAACCAUUGAAAUAAUUAUAAUACACUUGGUUGGUUCACAUGGACUUUAAAA